UACGUAGGUGGCAAGCAUUGUCCGGAUUUACUGGGCGUAAAGAGCGCGCAGGCGGUCGUUCAAGUCGCGUGUGAAAGCCCCCGGCUCAACUGGGGAGGGUCACGCGAUACUGAUCGACUCGAAGGCAGGAGAGGGUAGUGGAAUUCCCGGUGUAGUGGUGAAAUGCGUAGAUAUCGGGAGGAACACCAGUGGCGAAGGCGACUACCUGGCCUGUUCUUGACGCUGAGGCGCGAAAGCUAGGGGAGCAAACGGG
This 253-nucleotide ribosomal RNA is filed under the name uncultured bacterium. RNAcentral describes it as "partial 16S ribosomal RNA". It matches the Rfam family "Bacterial small subunit ribosomal RNA", at positions 524 to 776 of the family's 1533-position model. The record is from RNAcentral.